RNAcentral lists this long non-coding RNA (14256 nucleotides) under Nicotiana tabacum (common tobacco). RNAcentral describes it as "long non-coding RNA (NTAB_LNC000595)". Lineage: Eukaryota; Viridiplantae; Streptophyta; Magnoliopsida; Solanales; Solanaceae. The record is from RNAcentral.
UCAAAAUGAGACAAAAGAAAGCAUUUCACUUAAAGGAUCAAAGGCCAUUAUUCUACCAACUAACGUGAAUAGCAGAAGCAAUACUUUGGCAUUUAAGCCAAGAGGCAUUUCUAGUUCAUCCAAAGUUCCCUAGGUUAAUCAAAAAAAUUCUGCCGUGGAUUUUAAAAUCCAAGAACUUGGAACAGAGUUGUUUAGUCCAAAUUAUUUAGCCAAGAUUCCAUUGGAAAUUCAAAGAACAACAACAAUAUUGUUCAAAUAAAUUCCAGGAACAGGUAUGUUAAGGCUAAGCUCUUCUUUCAUUUGGCAUGACCCCGUAAUUACUUGAGUUUGAUAACAAUACAUCCUACUACCCGUUUUAUGUUGUACAAGACAUAUAAGGAAAUGUUCAAUUUUUAAGGUUAAUGAAAGGUUCGGUACUAGCAGCAACUUAGGAUAAAUGAAAGCUUUUUCGUAUGACACUAACAUAAUUAGAUAGGAUAUUAUUAUAUAUUAUUUAAUCAAUCAGAUCUCUAAGCUAGUUAAAAUCUUACUUGUAGUUCUUACGUGUAAAUAGUUGGCGAGCAAUUAAUCCCAUGAAACAAUAGGACAUAAUAAUGUACUGUAUGAGUCAACAUUAAUAAUGGGUAAAGUAGAGGUAUAGAGAAAAAUUCAUAUCCCUGAAUUUACGUAUAUUUGUCUAUUUAAAGAAGUAGUCCUAUAUAUAUACUUUUCCCUCUACUAACGGGAAGCGUGUUCAUAAAACCAAUUGUUAAUUUGCAUUUCAUGUUUGAAUGUACAACCACACCUUUUCAAUUAAAGGUAUCCAUGAUAUUCGUAGAAAGAAGUGAAACAAAUAAAGAACCCAAUAUAAGUUAGUCUUAUGCACAAAAUUAGGUGCAACCUCCUGGGAAAUACUACUGCCUUCGUCAUAUGAUUAAGAAAUUUAGGUUGACAAAAGGCUCAUAUAUGAUUAGUAUUGCAAAUGUUAUCAUAGGCAACUACUUUAAAUACAUGCAGGAGGUUAAUAUUUUCUAGUUUUGUAAAUUACCACAUUCUUCUUAUCAGGACUUCAUAUUCAGUUGAGUAUUUCCUUCUUCCAGUCAAGAGAGCAGAGAAGUUACAUAUAUACAGUAUUAAAAGUAUUUUUAUUACCAUCGAGCUAUAAUCGAUGGGCAGGCCCCUAUUGGGCAACCUCUGAUCAGAUGGUAAGUUAUAUACCGAUUCUACUGUGGUCGAGCGCAUAUGAGCGAGCCCAGUUGGUCGAGAUACAGAUCCUAGUAUGGCCGAGCGCUUAUGAGCGAGCCUACUACGGCAGAGCAGAUAUAUAUAUGUAUACCGAGCCUUAUAAGGCCGGACAACUAUUUUACUUACUAUAUUGAGAGAAUUGAGUCAGUAUCAGUAGGUAAGCAUAUCUUCAGAUUAUCUUUGACUUCCAACUACUUGCAGUUAUUAUAUUAUCAGUUUAGUUUCAACUUUUAGUAUAUUGCCUUACAUACUCAGUACAUUAUUUCGUACCGACGUUCCUUUUGCCUGGGGACGUUGCGUUUCAUGCCUGCAUGCCCUGAUAGACCGGCCGAGAGCCCUCCAAGUAGGCUAUCAGCUUAGCGAAAGAUGGUGGUGCGCUCUAUUUGCUUCGAAGUUGUGUAUUAGGUUAGUAUGAUUUUGAUGUGUAUUGUUUGGUAUGGCGGGACUCUGUCCCGACCUAUAUGACAUUUAUGUAUUCUUAGAGGCUGAUAGACAUAUGUCGUGUACGUGAAAGAUUGUACGGCCUUGCCGGCCUAUGUUUUGAGUUUAUAAAUGAUUAUGUUGGCCUAUUAGGCCCGUAUGUCACGUGUAUAUGAUGAUUUAAUAAGAAAGAUACGUUACAUUGGUACUCGGUUGAGUAAGGUAUCGGGUGCCCGUCGCGGCCCAUCGGUUUGGGUUGUGACAAAAGUGGUAUCAGAGCAGUUCUGUCCUAGGAAGUCUAUAAGCCGUGUCUAGUAGAGUCUUGUUUAUGGGUGUGUUGUGCACCACACUUACAAGCAGGAGGCUACAGGGUAUUUAAGACUGUCACUCUUUCUUCUUACUCUAAAUCGUGUGGUAGAGCACACUUAUAAGAAUUCAAGUCCCGAGCUUCUAUUUUUAUUCAUAAUAAGACAAUGUCUACGUUCAGAAAGAUGAUCGAUAAGAGCUAUAGCUGUGGAAGUGUUGGAUUAGUGGAGCUCAACUUUGUAUGAUGCUUAUGAUAAGUAAAUAUGAGAUCUUCAGCAGAUCAUGUGUGUGCUGAAAGGUGUAAGACUCUUGAUAAGAAGCCUCAAGGCAAGAAUGUCUAUCCCAUCUUUAUGGUAAAGGACAAUGAGAAAUUAAGAAGAUAAGUACAAGUUUCAGCAAGUAAAAGAAGCAAGAUGAAGAAGGGUACAAGGCGCCCAAUUAACAAAGGUUAUAAUUGAGGCAGAUGAACCUAAGCCUUUUGAAUUAUAUUCAAUAGUAACAGAGGUAUAUACAAUUGGUCGUACCUCUUCCAGAUAUGCCCUAUGGGGGUUAACAAAAGUAGUAUAAGAAGAUAUGAUGGAUGAAUUGAUUGCGUCAGUUGAUAUCUCCGAAGAAUAUUUCAAAUGUGCUAAUAGAUCUCUUUAUGAGACACCUAGAUAGUGCACUCUGAAUUAGUGCAGACAUAUAUGAGUACUACAAAGACAUGUACUAUAAGCCUUGAAGGAAUAAUAUUAUCUUAGUGUGGCUCCCGCCCCAGUAAAGAAAGAAUGCUAGGCAAUUGAAAGUAAAGGGAUGGAGCAAAGGGAUCUAGAGGAAAAAAGAAAGUUUUGUUCGAGUUUUUAGAAUAAAGCAGUAGACAUAGAUAAUUAGCGGGAGAUGAGAAUAGAGUUAAUGAAGCAUUAUGAGUAAAAUAUGAUACACGGAUGUUAACGGUAGGUCAACAAAAAUGAUGACAGUAUUACAGUAUUUACAGUCAAGUGAGAGGAAAGACAAAAGAUGACAGGCCUUGAGACAAUGAAAGAAUAUAGCCCAUAAAGUCAUAUCCCCACUUCGAGAAAUAAGUUCGCAACUCUAAUGUAAUCACCAAAAGGAAAAGUUAAACCCCAAAGUAAUAGAAAUUAGUAUGGGCUGGUAAACCUGAUAAACUAAAUAUGAAUUAGGGACUGAAUGAUUGGAAAGUACUCAGCAUAAUGGUAAUUUUAGAUUUUGUUCCGGCAGUAAUAGAAUGGACAAUGAAAGAAGAUUCAUGAGAAAUUCUGAGAAUGAUCACUCAGGAAGACGCUUCACUAAAGCAAGCAAUGGAAGCGAAGUUAAUCUUAAGGGAAUGUAUGAGCCAGUUACACUAAGUGUCACCGUCGUGAGUAAGAAAUUUUAUUUUCAUUGGUACAGAAGGAUUACUGCAAGGAGAGUAAGGGUCAUCGAUGAUGUGAAAGGAUGCCAAAGAUGAAAAGGUGAAACAUCUAUAGGCAGGUCGUCGUAGCUCCAACUCUUAACACUCCCCUAAAGGGGGGAAUAUGGAGUGAUGUGGCAUUAAGUCAGAAUUAAGUGGUUCUAGUUAAUAUGGAAUGGUAAAGGAAGAAUGCGAUAAAUGAAAGAGGAAUGAGAUGGCACUUAUCCAAAUCUUACAGAUGCGAUACAAUUCAAGAAUAUUGUGCAAGCACGAACAUCAAAAAUUCUAUUGGGAAUACGGUAUAAUAAGUUCACAUCUUUACAAGAGUUAGAGGGUCUUCCCUAAGUACUACAAUAAAGGACUAGUUGAGGAAAUGAGGAAAAAGGCUUCAACCUAAUCACAGUGACCUAAAGAGAAAAUGGUCUUGUAACAAUAAUUUAACAACAACAGUGUACGUCAUCCAUAAGAAAGAGGAAUCUACCGUGGGUAGUGAACGGGAAGUAAAUCAAAAGAAAUAUUCGAAGAUCAUAUGAGUUGUACGGAAUUUCCGGCAAGCGUGGGAGACUAAGCUAAGCAAAGUAUACACGCAACAAGGAGGAAGAAAGAUAAGGAAAGGUAAAAGCUUACGUUAAAAGAAAUAUGAGAAGGAACGAAAGGAAUUAUUUGAUCAAUGAUCCUAAGUUAGUCACAUUAUUAUGCACUCAAGAUUUUAGAAAAUUAUCCAUGGAGCAUAUAUAUGGAAAUCGUAUAGCCGUAAGAGACUCUGGUAUAAGUUGAAAAUAAGGAAUUAAGUUCAGGUUAUAGAAAAAGGAUUGAAUUGUUGGAUGAUGGUAUUAUGGGUAUUCCAUAACGCCCAUGAAAGGUUAAGGUAAUAACUGAUACCAUGAGCCACAGAUCGGAAGAUAGCUUAAGCCUAUGUAAAGGCUAAUCAGAAGGAAGAGGAAACUAAAGAAUUACAUCACCGAAGUAAAUCAAGAAUCUGAUUAUUGGACCUAGAAAAAUUAUAGAAGUUGUGCUGGAGAAGAUGACAGAAUAGCUCUUAAUAGCAGACGUUCAAUAGAAACAACACAACGACUAUAAUCUAUAAUGGCUCUACAAGGAAGCCAGUUAGAAGAAGUACCAUCCUAAUAAGAAGUCAGUACGAAGCUCCCACCGGAUUGUGUAUGCACCAAAGGUGUAAAAAAAAAUUAUAAUAAAGCUUCAAGUAUAGACGUGAAUUGUAUCUAUGUGGAAGGGAGGUCAUGAAAGAGAUAGAAGAUACAAUGUGAGAUUUUAAGUAAGUAAGGAAAAGGUGAACAACAUACAUGAUACUCAAAUACAGAAAGUUAUGAAUAGUCUGUACUGCAGAAAAGAGACUAUAAGCGCGGGAUUCAAUAUCCAGGAAUGAUAGCGACAAGGUUUUAGGAAGAUUAGAAUAAGGAUAAGAGAAGGCGAGUGAGAAGGUGACGAGAAUGGAUAAGUCCUAGGGAUUAAGCCCAUGAAAACAAGAAGAGCUGAUGGUUUCUCUAAGUUAUAGAAAGCUCAGUAUAGCCUGAAUGAAUUAAAAGGAAUCUAAGACUAGUAACAUUUAGAAAAGAUGGAAUGCUGCCCUGAUAGUACAAUGAAGGUAUAAUUAUGAUGGAUAAAGGAUGACGUUUAGGCUUUCGAGUGAGUAAUGAUUGAAGAGGCUUUCAUGGAUUGUACGAGAUUAAAAUACCCACAUAAGUAAAUCACAUUGGGAUGCCAUGAGAUACGGUUAUGAAAGCAGGGUAUCGCCCCAGGUGGAUCAAUCUAAUCAUUUCAGAUGUUCCUCGAUAAAACAUGAAUCCUAGCAGUAAUAUUACUUAAAAUGUUAAGUUAUCAAGGGUGGACUAUGGAUCAAAAUUGAGGUGAAUCAAUAAUGGAUGGGUAAAAGUUAUAAAGUGUGAGAAGAGAUUAGGCCGUCAUUCUUAAAGAUGAACAGUAAUGUGGAGGCAUUAAAGGACAUAGAUUUAUACGUACGAGAUAAGCAAUGAAAGUAACCUGAGAUUAUGUAGCAGACCUCAGUAACGAGAAAUCGAGGUAAGUGUUAUGGUAUAGUAUGACCUAUGUAGAUGCAGUAAAGUCAUACGAAUGGAUAACCAUGUCUAUAAAAUAAGAUAUAGCAGUAUCGUAAGUUCGACAAAAUACCAAGCAAAGAAAUUCAGGAUUGGCUAAAAACUAGAGGAAAAAGGAAAGGAGAGUUGCAUAAGGACACAUACAUGGUUAGUAUCGUAGGAGAUGCAUGAUGGGAGGUAGCAACAGUUAUGAGAUGGGAAAGUAUUUGAUCACAAGUCAUGGCAUGGGAAAGAGGCCUAAAGGGGGUAAUACCCUGACCUUUGGACUUAUUCACAGAACAGUUGCCUAGAUGGCAAGAGGACUACUAAAGUAUUCGCAAGAGCUAUGGGAUAUGAGAACGAUAAGCAUAUCAGUCAACAUUCGAGGACGAAUGUUCCAAAGGGGGGAAUGAUGUUACACCCCCUAUUUUCGUACAUGAAAAUACACCAUAAAUAAGUUAAUGAGAGCCCGAAGUGAGGUGUCACGUCCUGCAGUAUUGCAUAACGGUGAUGUCACGUUUUGCAGUGUUAAGUUACGAUGAUGUUGCACCCUAAAGUAUUGUACGUUAAAAUUUUAUUUUCAGUUAACCGAUGUAAGACUCGGGGAUGAGAUCAUCUUGAUGUUAACGUACUUGCGCUAUUUAUAGCAAGCAAUAAAUAAGUGUUAUGAAGAAUAAGGGGGUACACGGAUUAAAGAAAAUAAGUUUCGUUGAAAGUGGUCAAUUUGGAAUAAAAUAAGGGUCGAGCAAUAAUACACGAUAAUUAUGAAAUACUACCAUGUAAGGUACCACAUGACCAUGAUAGUAAAGUAUAUAAAGUGUAUUAAAAGUGAGUAGUAUUUUAACUAAUUUGAGAUAAUUGGUUAAUUAUUCAUUUAAGUGGGUAAGUGUAGGAAUUGUCUUGUCCACGUGGGACCAUGACAACUAAACUAAACUAUGACUAAUAUGUGUGCUACGUUGGUGUCAUACUUUGGGAGCAAGAAGUCUUGCUAAGCAUUAAUUAUAAAUGGGGUCUACCAACCAAGACACUUAAAGAAUGCAUUUUGAAACUAGAGAAAUCAUUUUUGAAACUCAAGCCUUUGGAUUUAGGCUUGCUAAGAACGANNNNNNNNNNNNNNNNNNNNNNNNNNNNNNNNNNNNNNNNNNNNNNNNNNNNNNNNNNNNNNNNNNNNNNNNNNNNNNNNNNNNNNNNNNNNNNNNNNNNNNNNNNNNNNNNNNNNNNNNNNNNNNNNNNNNNNNNNNNNNNNNNNNNNNNNNNNNNNNNNACCAACUAACGUGAAUAGCAGAAGCAAUACUUUGGCAUUUAAGACAAGAGGCAUUUCUAGUUCAUCCAAAGUUCCCUAGGUUAAUCAAAAAAAUUCUGCCGUGGAUUUUAAAAUCCAAGAACUUGCAACAGAGUUGUUUUGUCCAAAUUAUUUAGCCAAUAUUCGAUUGGAAAUUCAAAGAACAACAACAAUAUUGUUCAAAUAAAUUCCAGGAACAUGUAUGUUAAGGCUAAGCUCUUCUUUUAUUUGGCAUGACCCCGUAAUUACUUGAGUUUGAUAACAAUACAUCCUACUACCCGUUUUACGUUGUACAAGACAUAUAAGGAAAUGUUCAAUUUUUAAGGUUAAUGAAAGGUUCGGUACUAGAAGCAACUUAGGAUAAAUGAAAGCUUUUUUCAUAUGACACUAACAUAAUUAGAUAGGUUAUUAUUAUAUAUUAUUUAAUCAAUCAGAUCUCUAAGCUAGUUAAAAUCUUACUUGUAGUUCUUCCGUGUAAAUAGUUGGCGAGCAAUUAAUCCCAUGAAACAAUAGGACAUAAUAAUGUACUGUAGGAGUCAACAUUAAUAAUGGGUAAAGUAGAGGUAUAGAGAAAAAUUCAUAUCCCUGAAUUUACGUAUAUUUGUCUAUUUAAAGAAGUAGUCCUAUAUAUAUACUUUUCCCUCUACUAACGGGAAGCGUGUUCAUAAAACCAAUUGUUAAUUUGCAUUUCAUGUUUGAAUGUACAACAAAACCUUUUCAAUUAAAGGUAUCCAUGAUAUUCCUAGAAAGAAGUGAAACAAAUAAAGAACCCAAUAUAAGUUAGUCUUAUGCACAAAAUUAGGUGCAACCUCCUGGGAAAUACUACUGCCUUCGUCAUAUGAUUAAGAAAUUUAGGUUGACAAAAGGCUCAUAUAUGAUAGUACUGCAAAUGUUAUCAUAGGCAACUACUUUAAAUACAUGCAGGAGGUUAAUAUUUUCCUAGUAUUGUAAAUUACCACAUUCUUCUUAUCAGGACUUCAUAUUCAGUUGAGUAUUUCCUUCUUCCAGUCAAGAGAGCAGAAAAGUUACAUAUAUACAGUAUUAAAAGUUUUUAUUACCAUCGAGCUAUAAUCGAUGGGCAGGCCCCUAUUGGGCAACCUCUGAUCAGAUGGUAAGUUAUAUACCGAUCCUACUGUGGCCGAGCGCAUAUGAUCGAGCCCAGUUGGUCGAGAUACAGAUCCUAGUAUGGCCGAGCACUUAUGAGCGAGCCUACUACGACAGAGCAGAUAUAUAUAUGUAUACCGAGCCUUGUAGGGCCGGACAACUAUUUUACUUACUAUAUUGAGAGAAUUGAGUCAGUAUCAGCAGGUAAGCAUAUCUUCAGAUUAUCUUUGACUUCCAACUAUUUGCAGUUAUUAUAUUAUCAGUUCAGUUUCAGCUUUUAGUAUAUUGCCUUACAUACUCAGUACAUUAUUUCGUACUGACGUUCCUUUUGCCUGGGGACGCUGCGUUUCAUGCCCGCAGGCCCUGAUAGACCGGCCGAGAGCCCUCCAAGUAGGCUAUCAGCUCAGCGAAAGAUGGUGGUGCGCUCCAUUUGCUUCGGAGUUGCGUAUUUGGUUAGUAUGAUUUAGAUGUGUAUUGUUUGGUAUGGUGGGACUUUGUCCCGACCUAUAUGACAUUUAUGUAUUCUUAGAGGCUGGUAGACAUAUGUCGUGUACGUGAAAGAUUGUACGGCCUUGCCGGCCUAUGUUUUGAGUUUAUAAAUGAUUAUGUUGGCCUAUUAGGCUCGUAUGUCACGUGUAUAUGAUGAUGUAAUAAGAAAGAUACGUUACAUUGGUACUCGGUUGAGUAAGGUAUCGGGUGCCCAUCGCGGCCCAUCGGUUUGGGUCGUGACAGAUACUUAUCCACUCUUAUGGUAAAAAGGAAUAACAUAAUCGAAAGGUAGAUACAAAUUUCAACAAGCAAAAGAAGUGGCUUCAACAAAGAAGGGUACGAGGUACCCAGUUAAUAAAGAUUAUCAUUAUUUACCAUUUAGGAAGGGAGAUAUAAGCUUUUUGAGUUGCCUUCAACAGUGAUAAAUGUAUGUACAACCGGCCACACCCGUCUUAUUUAUGCCAUAUAAAAGCUAACAGAAGUAGUAUAAGAGGAGGACGAAUAUCAGGAUCCAGCUGGGGUUAGGGUAACCCAAAUUGGUUAAUGGAUUGCUUGCAUUAGUUGACAUUUCCGAAGUAUAUUUCGAAUGUGCUAAUAGAUCUCCUUGUGAGACACCCAGAUAGUGUACUCUAAAAUAGUACAACUAGAUAUGUGUACUACAAAGAUAGGUACUAGAAUCCUGGAAUGGGUAAAUAUUACCUUAAUGUGGCUCUCGUCCCUAGUAGAGAGAAUCUUAGGCAACCCAAAGAGCCAGUAGAUGGAGGAAGGGGAGCUAAAAGCAAAAGAAUGUCUUGUUAAAGUUUUCAUAAUAAAGUGAUAGAUAGAAAUAUUAGCAGGGAAAUAUUAAAAGAUUUAAUGAAGCAGUAUCAGUAAGAUAUGAUACAUGGAUGACAACGGUAGAUCAAAAAAAAGAUGAUGAUGAUGACAGUAUUACAAAGUCUACAGUCAAGUGAAGGAAAAUUCGAGAAGUGACAGGCCUUGAGACAGUAAAAGAAAUUUCAGAUAUCAUUCCGAAAAUAAUAGAAUGUACAAUAGAAGAAGAUUCAUGAGAAAUUCAUAGAAUGGACAUUUAGGAAGACGCUUCCUUAAAGCAAACAAUAUGAGCAAAUUUAAGCUUAAGGGACUGUAUGUGCCAGCUAUACUAAGUGUCACUCUCGUGAGUAAGGAAUUUUGUUAUCUUUGGUACUAAAGGAUUACUGCAAGGCGAGUAAGGGUCAUCGAUAAAGUGAAAAGAUGCGAAGGAUGAAGAGAUAAAACAUCUAUAGGAAGAUCAUCGUAGCAUUAACUCUUAGUACUCCUAUAAAGGGGGGGGGGGGGGGAAUAUGGAGUGAUGUGGCAUUAAGCCAGAAUUAAGUGGUACUAGUAACUAUGAAAUAAUAAAGGAAGAAUACGAUAAAAAUGAGAAAGGGAUAAGAUUGCACUUAUACAAAUCCUACAGAUAUGCUAUGAUUCCAGAUCAUUAUGCAAGCAUGGCGUCAAGGAAAAGAAGUAAGGGUUCCUGCCCGAGAUAUUAUUGAUAAAUAAGGAGCCAGUGUAGGAGGUAAGUUAAGACAAAGUAAAUAACCCAGGAAGAAUGACACAGAAUAUAGAUAUUCAAGAAGAGCCUAGUUAUGGCUAGACAAGAAGAUACCGACAGAUCAAUAGAUCAUGCAAGAUAAACAUAGUGAACCCCAACAUGGGGAAUUCAGUCUCACAGAUAUGACAUUGUAACCCUUGAGAAAUAUUCAUAUAGGAGUUGGAAUAAUUAAAGGUACCGUGCGAGUAUUAUGAAAAUAAAAGAGAAACCCUAUGGUCAAAAUAUCAAUUUAGAAGAAACCCUACAAGCACAAGAGCAUGGAGGUAAGUAACAACAGAUAAUUAUAGAUGAGGAAGGACAUCAAAAAUUUUGUUGAGUAUACGAUGUAAUAAGCUCGCUAUUUUACAAGAGUCAGAAGGUUCUCCCUAAGUACUAUAACGAAAGACUAGCUGAGGAAAUAAGGAAGAAGGCUUCAACUUAAGCACAACGACCUAAAGAAGAAAUGGUCAUCACAACAUUAUAAGCACUCCAAAGGAAAGUGACACCUAUACUGACUAAUGAACGGGAAGUAAAAUUAAAAGUAGUAUUCGAGAUCACAUGAGUUGCACGAAAACUCUGGCAUGUGUAGGGACUAAGAUAAGCUAAGUACGGAUGCAACAAGGGGGCAGACAGACCAGAAAAAGUAAUAGCUUACGUUGAAAGAAAGUUAAAAUGGAACGAAAGAAAUUAUUCGAUAAAUGAUCCAGAGUUUGUUACGUUAUGAACACACUUAAGGGUUCGAAGUUUUAUACAUGCAGCAUAUACAGCCGUAGAAGAUUCUGGUAUACGUUAAAAGAAAGAAUUGAUUCCAGGUAAUAAAUGAAGGAUUAAAUUAUUAAAGGGUUGUAUCAUGCCUAUUUGUCAAGCCCAUGAAAGGCUAAACAGGAUAACUAAUACCAUGAACCACAGAUCGGAAGAUAGCUUAAGCCUAUAUAAAGGUUGAUUAGAGGGAAAAGGAAACUGAAGAGUGACAUCAACUAAGUGAUCAGGAGUCUAAUUAUUGGACCCAGAAAAUUAGAAACAUCAUGAUCAAGAACAUUGCAGGAUAUCCCUUAAAAUCAGAGGUACGAGAGAGAUAGUACAACAACCAUAGUCUAUAACGGCUCUAUGAUAAAGCCAGUAAUAAGAAGUCAGUAUAAAGCUCCCACCGGAUUGUAGUAUUAUAAUAGAGCUUCAAGUUGUGGUGUGAAUCAUACCUAUGUAGAAGGGAGGUUAUGAAAGAGAUAGAAGAUGUGAUGAAAGAUUUUAAGGUAAGUAAGGUGAAGGUGAAAACCGUACGAGAUACUCAAAUGCAAAAAGUUGUGAAUAGUCCAUUCUUCGGAUAGAAGGCUAUAAGCAUGAGGAUAUAAUAACCGAGAAUGAUAGUGGCAUCAUCAGCAAUAUGUCUUCCAGCCUAUGGUUUCUAAGUACUGAGAGAUCUAGUUAAGAGAGUAGAGAAAAGUUGGAGACGAUGUGAUGUCUCGCUUAACGUUCCAGAAUAACAUAAGAAAAUCUAUGGUACAAGCAAGUUGAAGGAUAUAGGUCGCAAGCUAAAAUAUGGUAGGGCGACAGAGUGUUAAGAAAACAUGAGUAAGGACGAGAAAAGGCAAGUAAAAAGGUGAUGAGAAUGGAUAAGUCCUCGGGAUUAAAUCCAUGAAAACAAGAGAGAUAAUGGUUUCUCUAAGUUAUUGAAAGUUCAGUGUAGCCUGAAUGAACUCAAAGGAGUCUAAGAUUAAUAACAUUUAGAAAGAAUGAAAUACUACCUGGUAAUAAAAUAGGGGUGUAAUUGUGAUAGAUAAAGGAUGACAUUUGGGCUUUCGUUUGAAUAAUAAUUUGAAAAAAAAGAAGAAGAGAAGGAGAAAAGAUUUUGCUGGCGGCAUGAAAUUAGGAUACCCCCAUAAGGUGAAUCACAUUGAGACACUAUGAAAUACGAUUAUGGAAAUCACUGCAAAUAUUCCUCAAUGCAACGUAAGCCCUAGCGGUAAUGUAUUACGUAAGAAGUUUCAAGUCUUCAAGUAGAGGAUUGUCGAUCAACAUUGAGGUGAAUCAACAAUGGAUAGAUACAAGUUACAAAGUAUGACAAGAAAUUGGGCCAUGAUUCUUAAGACGAACAGUAAUGAAGGAGCAUUAAAGGACUGAGAUUUAUACCUAACGGUUAAGCAAAAAAAGUAAUUGGGAUCUUUGUAAGCAUACCUCAGUAACGAUAAAUUGAAGUAAAAAUUAUGGUAUAGUAUAACUCAUGUAGAUGCAAUAAAGUUAUAUGAAUGGAUAAUAAGAUUUAUGAAAUAAGAUAUGGCCAUAUUCACAAGUUCUACAAAGUAUCGAGCAAAGAACUUCAGUACACCUAUAGAUACUAGAGAGGCAUCCUAUUAAGCCUUGUAUACAUUUACAAAGUAAGGCCUAGAGAUUGACUAUAAGCUAAAAGAAAAAAAAGAAAGAUAAAUCGCAUAAGCGCACUUACAAAGCCAGGGUCAUACAGGCUGCAUGACAGGAGGUAGCAACAGUUGCGAUAUUAGAAAGAUUUCGACCACAAGUCAUGAGAUGAGCUAAAAGACUAAAGGGGGGAAUACACUAGACUUUGGAUUUAUUCACAGAGCGACUGCUUAAAUGGCAAGGAGAGUACUAAGGUAUUCACAAGAGCUAUAAGUUAUGAAAAUGAUAAAAGCAUCAGUCAACAUUCAAGGACGAAUGUUCCAAAGGAGGGAAUGAUGUUACAUCCCGCAUUUUGGUAUUGUUAAAGUUUCGUCAUAAGUUAAUCGACGUAAGUUCGAUAGAAAGAUUAUUUUGAGAUUAUAAAUAUUAUGUUAUUUCAAACUAGUGAUAAGUAAAUUCGUGAAGGUGAGAAGGUAAGCGAAUCGAAGAAAAUGAGUUCCGUCAAAGCUUGACAAUUUGGGCAUAGAAUUUGGUCCAAGGUAUAAUACCCAGUAUUUAUGGAAUAAUGUCAUACAAGGUACCACAUGACCAUGAUAGUAAGGAUAAGAUAUGUUAAAAGUGGUUAGUAUUUUAAGUAAUUUAAGAUAAUUCUUAAUUAUGUGGGUAAUUGAUUAAUUAUUGAUUAAUGAGAGAUUAACAAGAUUAAUCAAGUAAUUAGUGGAUAAUUAAUUCAAAAAUGUGGAUAAGAUUUGAUGAAACACGUGGCAGCCCAUGAAAUGAAUUACAAUUCCUAUAAAUGACUCAUGUAAUAUGUGGAAAGGUGUCACAUUGUUAGUACAUUUAACAUGAGUCAAAAUCUCUUUAAGCCAAAAGCCUUGAACGUGAUUUGCAUAAUAUAUGCACUUUAACACAUGAAAACUAAUAUUUACUUACCCCUUAAGAUUAGAAGAAAUAAGCCUCAUAUUCCAUAAAGACUAAAUACGUGUUUUGGCAAUGGCCGGAGCUGUAAUCACGUAUUAUUUUGCGAUUUUAAGGAAGCCCGGAUUUACCCCUACUUCGAUCCGUCGUUAUGUGUUUCGUCGCGAUUAACAUGUGUUAAAGGGAUUUUCAAGAGAAUUGACUCAGGUAUGUUAAGGCUAUCCCUUAUUUUUUUUUGGCAUGUUCUAUACGACACAAACGAAACGAGCAAAUGCACAAAUUUCAUAAAUGACUCUAUUCAUAGAAGUAUUAGAGAUAUCUAUGUUCUUGAAUUUUCAUGUAUCAUAAUAUUCUAUCAUCUGUUCAUGGGUCUCAGAAAAAAAAAUAUGAAAGUUGAAAAGAGUUUACUUUAUGAUAUUACUCAACGGCAAAAUGAUCUUAUGACAUUUCGAAAGAUUUUAUUAAUGUAAUUUUCAUGCAAUGCAUUCAUGUACAUUGAUCCAUGACCAGAUGACAUUAUAUACACGUAUAUAUGUAUUUAUAUGUAUGUAUAUAUAUGUACAUGGGAUAUGGGAAAGGUUAUGGAGUUAUAUACCCACCACCACCUGAUCAGUUAGUAUACGUUAAUGAUUUUGCCCAUAGUGACCAAGAUGAUAUGAUGGGAUGCCCUCAGAGGCUGAUGAUGCUAUGAAACAUGCACCUAUGCACGACAUGACAUUCAUACACAUAUGCAUGAUACUAUAAUUAUUUCAUGAUUUACAAAGUUAUUCAGACAUACAGGUGGAGUCAUUUACUCUAUAUUUCCUCUAUGUCUGUUAUACACUUAUUUAUGUGCCUUACAUGCUCAGUACAUUAUUCAUACUGACGUCCCUUUUUGCCUGGGUACGCUAUGUUUCAUGCCUGCAGGUCCCGAUAGACAGGUCGAGAACCCUCCAAGUAGGCUAUCAGCUUAUCGGAAGAUGUUGGUGCGCUCCAUUUGCUUUGGAGUUGCUUCUUUGGUUAGUAUGAGUUAGAUGUGUAUUGUUUUGUAUGGCGGGACUCUAUCCCGACCUUUAUGAAAAUUAUGUAUUCUUAGAGGCUUGUAGACAGAUGUCAUGUACGUAAAAGAUUGUAUGGCCUUGUCGGCCUAUGUUCAGUGUUCAAGUGGUUACUUUGGUCUUAG